Molecule: ribosomal RNA, 293 nt
Filed under: uncultured bacterium
Lineage: Bacteria
Description: partial 16S ribosomal RNA
Rfam family: Bacterial small subunit ribosomal RNA
Source: RNAcentral
UUUCCAGCCGCCGCGGUAACACGUAGGGUGCGAGCGUUGUCCGGAAUUAUUGGGCGUAAAGAGCUCGUAGGCGGUGUGUCGCGUCGGCCGUGAAAACCUGUGGCUUAACUGCGGGCUUGCGGUCGAUACGGGCAUCACUGGAGUUCGGCAGGGGAGACUGGAAUUCCUGGUGUAGCGGUGAAAUGCGCAGAUAUCAGGAGGAACACCGGUGGCGAAGGCGGGUCUCUGGGCCGAUACUGACGCUGAGGAGCGAAAGCGUGGGGAGCGAACAGGAUUAGAAACCCGCGUAGUCC